UCACACUCACUAUCCACACUAUCCAAGCCUCUCUAAACCCCGGCCGCUCCAAGCCUCCUCCCUCUCUUCCGAUGACCGCGCAUCUCGGAAAUCUCUCUCCGUCAACGGCCGCACAUCCUAAAAAUCACAAUGCCCUCAUGUGAGGAAGGGAAGGUGAAGGGGAAGGGGAAAGGGAAGGCCUACAACUACUACAACAAAAUGAAGAAAUCUAUGGUUAAGAGAAUAUUAAGGUUUGGAGAUGUUGAUGUACUAAACAUCAUUUUGUGAACAUGUGGAGGUGUUGAUGUAUUUGCAAAUAUCAUUUUGUGGAGAUGUUGUAUUUGCAAAUAUUAUUUUGUGAGCAUGUGGACUUGUUGAUGUAUUAAUAUCAAUUUAUGAACUUGUAGGGAUGUUGAUGUAUUUGUAAGCUUGUGAACAUGUUAAUGUAUUUGUAAACUUUUUGUGAAGAUAUUG
Molecule: long non-coding RNA, 453 nt
Organism: Dioscorea cayenensis subsp. rotundata (Guinea yam)
Lineage: Eukaryota; Viridiplantae; Streptophyta; Magnoliopsida; Dioscoreales; Dioscoreaceae
Exons: 3
Source: RefSeq, a predicted model, not a curated record